CCCAGGACUCCUUGACGCCGGAACAGCUUGCGGAGGCACCUGGCGCGGAGGUGUCUUGCUUCCGACGGGUCUAGGCUCCUUGUCCCGUUCCGGUUUCUGUUUCGCGAGUGUGCGGCCCUCGUGUGGAGGAUGGCCGGGAAGUGGCUCAGAAACUGCGACUUGCAGCUGGGAUCAUUGUCCAGCCAUUUUCCAAGGCGGCUAAGGCAAUUAGUGUGUAAUUUUAAACUGUUUUGCGGCUGGAACUGAGGCUUGAAGCUAAGGCCUUCUGACCGAGUAGUGCUUGCGGUUAGAAUCUUAUGUUGGAAAUGGAGCCAUCCAGAAGAAGACCAGGAAGUGUACAGAGUUCAGCC
Molecule: long non-coding RNA, 350 nt
Filed under: Heterocephalus glaber (naked mole-rat)
Lineage: Eukaryota; Metazoa; Chordata; Mammalia; Rodentia; Bathyergidae
Description: lncRNA (ENSHGLG00100037987.1)
Source: RNAcentral